CCUACGGGAGUCAGCAGUGGGGGAUAUUGCACAAUGGGGGGAACCCUGAUGCAGCGACGCCGCGUGUGGGAAGACGGUCCUCUGGUUUGUAACCCACUGUCCCCAGGGACGAAAAUUACGGUACCUGGGGAGGAAGCUCCGUCUAACUACGUGCCAGCAGCCGCGGUAAUACGUAGGGAGCGAGCGUUGUCCGGAAUUACUGUGUGGAAAGGGAACGUAGUCGGGGAUUGAAGUUGGGUGUAAAAACUACCGGCUAAACUGGGAGUCGCACUCAAAACUGCAGCGCUUGAGUGAAGUAGAGGCAGGCAGAAUUCCUAGUGUAGCGGUGAAAUGCGUAGAUAUUAGGAGGAACACCAGUGGCGAAGGCGGCCUGCUGGGCUUUUACUGACGCUGAGGCGCGAAAGUGUGGGGAGCAAACAGGAUUAGAUACCCUUGUAGUC
RNAcentral lists this ribosomal RNA (440 nucleotides) under uncultured bacterium. RNAcentral's name for it is "partial 16S ribosomal RNA". It matches the Rfam family "Bacterial small subunit ribosomal RNA", at positions 338 to 795 of the family's 1533-position model. The record is from RNAcentral.